UCCAGAGGGGGCAAGCGUUGUUCGGAAUUACUGGGCGUAAAGGGCGCGUAGGCGGCCAACUAAGUCGGACGUGAAAUCCCCGGGCUCAACCCGGGAACUGCGUCCGAUACUGGAUGGCUUGAAUCCGGGAGAGGGAUGUGGAAUUCCAGGUGUAGCGGUGAAAUGCGCAGAUAUCAGGAGGAACACCGGUGGCGAAGGCGGGUCUCUGGGUAGUAACUGACGCUGAGGAACGAAAGCGUGGGUAGCGAACAGG
This 253-nucleotide ribosomal RNA is filed under the name uncultured bacterium. RNAcentral's name for it is "partial 16S ribosomal RNA". It matches the Rfam family "Bacterial small subunit ribosomal RNA", at positions 524 to 776 of the family's 1533-position model. The record is from RNAcentral.